AGUGAACGCUGGCGGUAGGCCUAACACAUGCAAGUCGAACGGCAGCACAGUAAGAGCUUGCUCUUACGGGUGGCGAGUGGCGGACGGGUGAGGAAUACAUCGGAAUCUACUUUUUCGUGGGGGAUAACGUAGGGAAACUUACGCUAAUACCGCAUACGACCUACGGGUGAAAGCAUGGGAUCUUCGGACCUUGCGUGAUUGAAUGAGCCGAUGUCGGAUUAGCUAGUUGGCGGGGUAAAGGCCCACCAAGGCGACGAUCCGUAGCUGGUCUGAGAGGAUGAUCAGCCACACUGGAACUGAGACACGGUCCAGACUCCUACGGGAGGCAGCAGUGGGGAAUAUUGGACAAUGGGCGCAAGCCUGAUCCAGCCAUACCGCGUGGGUGAAGAAGGCCUUCGGGUUGUAAAGCCCUUUUGUUGGGAAAGAAAAGCAGCAGGUUAAUACCCCGCUGUUCUGACGGUACCAAAAGAAUAAGCACCGGCUAACUUCGUG
Molecule: ribosomal RNA, 492 nt
Filed under: uncultured bacterium
Lineage: Bacteria
Description: partial 16S ribosomal RNA
Rfam family: Bacterial small subunit ribosomal RNA
Source: RNAcentral